RNAcentral lists this ribosomal RNA (283 nucleotides) under uncultured bacterium. Its description in RNAcentral is "partial 16S ribosomal RNA". It matches the Rfam family "Bacterial small subunit ribosomal RNA", at positions 355 to 630 of the family's 1533-position model. The record is from RNAcentral.
UAGGGAAUCUUCCACAAUGGACGCAAGUCUGAUGGAGCAACGCCGCGUGAGUGAAGAAGGUUUUCGGACCGUAAAGCUCUGUUGUUGGUGAAGAAGGAUAGAGGUAGUAACUGGCCUUUAUUUGACGGUAAUCAACCAGAAAGUCACGGCUAACUACGUGCCAGCAGCCGCGGUAAUACGUAGGUGGCAAGCGUUGUCCGGAUUUAUUGGGCGUAAAGCGAGCGCAGGCGGAAGAAUAAGUCUGAUGUGAAAGCCCUCGGCUUAACCGAGGAAUUGCAUCGGA